This is a non-coding RNA of Camelina sativa (false flax), 1854 nucleotides long. NCBI's taxonomy places the organism in Eukaryota, Viridiplantae, Streptophyta, Magnoliopsida, Brassicales, Brassicaceae. The record is from RefSeq and is a predicted model, not a curated record.
UUAUAUAUAUGUAUAUCUACCCAUAUAUUAAAGAAUAUUUUUACAAAUAAAAAAAAUUUGAAAACCGCACUUUAAAAACUUCAACCCUCUUCUAUUUUGAUGUGGGUAGACCGCACCGCAAUCAAUAAAGAAAAACAAACAAAAUCUAUAUAUUUUUAUUAUGUAUAUAUAUUAUAUAUUGUGUUAGUGCGUUUUUAUGCAAAUAUGUGAUAUUUGUGUGAUUGGUGUAUUUGUUUGAUCCGUCCGACAAUAGUCAAAUUCCAUCCCGCUUAACUGUUGCCUUUCACUACCUUAAUUUAGAGUGUUUUCAAAAUAGAAAAAAUUAUACAAAUAUGGUCUUGGUUAGGAUCUGCGUAACAUCUUUCAUAUAACUCAUCUUAUUUUAAACUAAAAAUAUAUUUUUAUAAUUAUAUUUAUGCAAACAUUAAAGUCAUUCUAUCACAUGAUCCGCAAGUAAUAUUUAUAACAUAGCACAAAUUAUCUUCUAGUAAACUUCAAUAAUUAUAAUUUUGUAAUUGUGGGCAAAUUAGACUUACUAAAUUACCAACCCGCAUAACUUAAAUUUUAUCAAUUCGUCGAUAUAGAACGUUAAACACACAUUUCAUAAAUUAAAUAAUAUAUCUCUAUUUUUUUAAAAAUAAGACCAUAUGCAAUAUAUAUAUAUAUAUAUAUAUUUAUUAUUCAUAUAUAUUAUAUUUUAAUUCAAAAGAAUUUGAAAAUGAAAUCAUAGACAUAUGGUAGUAAAAUCAUCAUAUUAAAUCUAAACAAAAUCACCUAAAUAAAAUAGUAUGGUAUAGUUAGAUAUCAAAUCUUAAUUUCAAAGGUUUGAUUGCUUAACAAUUUUUUAGUCCACCAGUUAAUUGGAGAGAGAAAGUGAUUUUUUUCUAAAUCGUCUUAUGAUUAAUGGUAUUUGAUGUAGGCAGUGAUUGGUGAAGAAAAAAAAGCUGUACAAAGUGGUAUAGCUUUAACUUUUACCAAUCAAAGUAUAAAGGUGUACGAAAAAGUAGUCAACACAAAAAGCUGAAUAAAGACUUCUUUAUUUUUUAUAUUAUUUGAAAAUAAAGAUAAUGUUAAAAAAAUCACAAUGCUAUUGGUGGAUGAGAUUUUAUUUUAUCUGAAUAAAUUUUUAAUUAAUCAAAAUUUAUAUACUAAAAGUGAAGUUCCUUCCUCUUAUAUAUGUAACUAUACAAUCGACUCACAGUUUGUAAACUUCUUCUUUGCUCUUCUUCUCAAAACCUCAACAAAAAAAAAAUCUCUCACCGAGAACUUGAGGGAAAAAAUUAGAAAACAUUCUUCCAGUUUCAAGUAACUACAAUUAAGUAUGUCUAAUGAAGGUCCUAGCUCUUGACGUCGACGAAGGAACGUAAGUUAUAUAUAUAUAUAUAUAUAUUACCGAAGUAGUAUAUAUAAUAUAAUAAUUUUAUAUUACAUAUGUUAGUCAUUUAUAUAUAUAUAUAUAUAUAUACAUAAAAAUAUUUUUCACAUUUUUUAGAAAGAAAACUAGUCACUUCUUGAAGAGCGCGUUGUGCUUAAACUAUAUGAAGUUGAGUUUGCAAAAGUAGACUAUAAUACAUAUGGUCUAAAAAAACCACAUCAAAAUUGUAUUCUGAGUGAACUUUUAAAGCGAACGGGGAAUCAUAUUGAUAGUUGGAUAGAGGUAAAAAAACAAGAUAGAUACAUUGAAGGGAACUUACAAAGAAUGGACCGAUUUUGAUGUGUAAGUUCGAAUCAGAGAACUGAAGUUAUUCGUAUGGAUGACGAUUGGUGGCAAUCGCGCGAGGCUCUAUGUAUAUCUUGUCUUAGUUUGAAUUGUAUGAUAUAUUAAAAGUGUUUAUCUAGAAGUUCUAAAUUUUA